This 143-nucleotide ribosomal RNA is filed under the name uncultured Ralstonia sp. Its description in RNAcentral is "partial 16S ribosomal RNA". The record is from RNAcentral. Lineage: Bacteria; Pseudomonadati; Pseudomonadota; Betaproteobacteria; Burkholderiales; Burkholderiaceae.
UGGAGCAUGCCGCGUGCAUGACGAAGGCCUUCGGGUUGGAAAGUCUUUCUGUUGGGAGGUAAGGCCAAUGCGUAUACCCUUGUUCCUUGACGUUACCCGCAAAGAAAGGCCGGCUAACUACGUGCCAGCAGCCGCUAUAAUAA